This 497-nucleotide ribosomal RNA is filed under the name uncultured bacterium. RNAcentral describes it as "partial 16S ribosomal RNA". It matches the Rfam family "Bacterial small subunit ribosomal RNA", at positions 28 to 507 of the family's 1533-position model. The record is from RNAcentral.
GAUGAACGCUGGCGGCGUGCCUAAUACAUGCAAGUCGAGCGAACGGACGAGAAGCUUGCUUCUCUGAUGUUAGCGGCGGACGGGUGAGUAACACGUGGAUAACCUACCUAUAAGACUGGGAUAACUUCGGGAAACCGGAGCUAAUACCGGAUAAUAUUUUGAACCGCAUGGUUCAAAAGUGAAAGACGGUCUUGCUGUCACUUAUAGAUGGAUCCGCGCUGCAUUAGCUAGUUGGUAAGGUAACGGCUUACCAAGGCAACGAUGCAUAGUCGACCUGAGAGGGUGAUCGGCCACACUGGAACUGAGACACGGUCCAGACUCCUACGGGAGGCAGCAGUAGGGAAUCUUCCGCAAUGGGCGAAAGCCUGACGGAGCAACGCCGCGUGAGUGAUGAAGGUCUUCGGAUCGUAAAACUCUGUUAUUAGGGAAGAACAUAUGUGGAAGUAACUGUGCACAUCUUGACGGUACCUAAUCAGAAAGCCACGGCUAACUACGUG